Molecule: small nuclear RNA, 107 nt
Organism: Eptesicus fuscus (big brown bat)
Lineage: Eukaryota; Metazoa; Chordata; Mammalia; Chiroptera; Vespertilionidae
Source: RefSeq, a predicted model, not a curated record
GUGCUUGCUUUGGCAGCAUAUAUACUAAAAUUGGAACAAUACAAGGGAGAUUAGCAUGGUCUCUGCACAAGGAUGACAUGCAAAUUCAUGAAGUGUUCUAUAUUUUC